Apodemus sylvaticus (European woodmouse) is the source of this 4052-nucleotide long non-coding RNA. RefSeq lists it as uncharacterized. The transcript has 5 exons. Lineage: Eukaryota; Metazoa; Chordata; Mammalia; Rodentia; Muridae. The record is from RefSeq and is a predicted model, not a curated record.
UUUCCUUCCUUCCUUCCUUCCUUCCUUCCUUCCUUCCUUCCUUCCUUCCUUCCUUCCUUCCUUUCUGGAGUGUUGAAUGCAGAGACCUUGACUCUCACAGAUGCAAAAAACAGGUUGGCCUUGAACUCACAGAGAUCAGGCUACUCUGUCUCUGACAUGCUAGGAUUGAUGGGCUGGUCCACUAAGCCUGGUUCAGAAUCCAGUUUAGUAUCAGGGAUAUUGUGUGUACACGAAUGUGUGUAAGCUAUGUGUGUCCCAAAUGCUUGCAGAGGCCAGAAGAGGGAAUUGGAUCCCAUGGAAUGGAGACUACAUAACUUAGUCUCUACUCUUCACCAAGGAAACUUCUGUUUUCAACAGUCAGAGUCUACAGUGAAAAAAAAAACACACCUAAUCAACAUGCAGAGUUUGGGAGAACAGGCACAGUGGAUACUCUCAUUCAAAACUCCUGCAUCAUACUACCGAGCAAUAGUGUUAAAAACUGCAUGGUAUUGGUACAGUGACAGGCAGGAGGAUCAAUGGAACAGGAUUGAAGAUCCAGAAAUGAACCCACACACCUAUGGCCACUUGAUCCUCGACAAAGGGGCUGAAAACAUCCAAUGGAAAAAAGAUAGCCUUUUCAACAAAUGGUGCUGGUUCAACUGGGAGGUCAGCAUGCAGAAGAAUUCGAAUUGAUCCAUCCUUGUCUCCUUGUACUAAGCUCAACUCCAAAUGGAUCAAGGACCUCCACAUAAAGCCAGACACUCUGAAGUUAAUAGAAAAGAAACUGGGGAAGACUCUUGAGGACAGUGGUACGGUGAAAAGUUCCUGAACAGAACACCAAUAGCGUAUGCUCUAAGAUCAAGAAUUGACAAAUGGGACCUCAUAAAAUUACAAAGUUUCUGUAAGGCAAAGGACACCAUCAAAAGGACAAAUCAGCAACCAACAAAUUGGGAAAAGAUCUUCACCAACCCUACAUCAGAUAGAGGCCUAAUAUCCAAUAUAUACAAAGAACUCAAGAAGUUAGACCCCAGAAAACCAAAUAACCCUAUUAAAAAAUGGGAUACAGAGUUAAACAAAGAAUUCUCACCUGAAGAACUUCGGAUGGCGGAGAAACAUCUUUAAAAAUGCUCAACUUCAUUAGUCAUCAGGGAAAUAUGCAAAUCAAAACAACCCUGAGAUUUCACCUUACACCAGUCAGAUUGGCUAAGAUUAAAAAACUCAGGAGAUUGCAUGUGUUGGCAAGGAUGUGGAGAAAGAGGAAUACUCCUCCAUUGCCGGUGGGGUUGCAAAUUGGUACAACCACUCUGGAAAUCAGUCUGGUGGUUCCUCUGAAAACUGGGCACCUCACUUCCAGAAGAUCCUGCUAUAACACUCCUGGGCAUAUACCCAGAGGAUUCCCCAGCAUGUAAUAAGGAUACAUGCUCCACUAUGUUCAUAGCAGCCCUAUUUAUAAUAGCCAGAAGCUGGAAAGAACCUAGGUAUCCCUCAACAGAAGAGUGGAUGCAAAAAAUGUGGUAUAUAUACACAAUGGAGUACUAUUCAGCCAUUAGAAACAAUGAAUUCAUGGAAUUCUUAGGCAAAUGGAUGGAGCUGGAGAACAUCAUACUAAGUGAGGUAACCCAGUCUCAAAAGAUGAAUCAUGGUAUGCACUCACUAAUAAGUGGAUAUUAGCCUGGAAAACUGGAAUACCCAAAACAUAAUCCACACAUCAAAUGAGGUACAAGAAGAACGGAGGAGUGGUCCCUGGUUCUGGAAAGACUCAGUGUAGCAGUAUAGAGCAAAAUCAGAACAGGUUGCGUCCACCUACACCAACAAUGGAUGGCCAUGAACAAAAAGAGUGAUGUCAGCUAAGACAGACUCAUGUGGAGUUUGCUAAGACUCACGGGCUUAGGCAAGACACAUGGUCAGUAAAGACCCAUGGAGGACACAUAUUUUGAGGGAGUAUGGUCUCAAUGGACAGUGAUUGAGGUUUGUCUGGGCUUGCCUGUAGACGUAGCUGUGCAACGCUUGUUGGUGUCGAGAGUUCACUGACCUUUGCUUUCCUGAAAGAGGCACAGCCAAGAACUUUCCUGGCAAUCCUGUUAACAGUCCCUGGUCUCACCUGCUGACCCAUGCUGAUUUGACUGAGGCCUGGCUGUUCCUGCUAGGUUGUGCCACCACUGCUGAUUUAUGUUUGCUCUUCGAACUCAAACAAACUGGACUACUGGUAUAUCUGUGAAGUGUUUGCUUGGGGAUGGAGCGGCUGACCUGAACUACUGAUUUCUUAACAACACAGAUGGGAUUCGCUCCAAAGAACCAUUUCUAAACAGCACCACUUCACCCAUAUGGCUUCCUUUCCACUACCUCUGGUGGGUGGUAGGCUAGAAGAGAGAUCAAAGUGUUUAAGAACCAUCAUUAAAAAUAGAUAUUCAAAAACUAGAGUUACAGAGAAGUGUGUCUUUCAAGCCACUCACUGGCUUCUCCGGGAAACUUGUCUUGCCUUACACGGUUCAAGCAGAUUGACUGGUGUCAGCUUCAUGGUGAUCUUCUGUGCAAUUCAUUUUGUCUGACAGUCUUAGAAUUCCUUACCUAUUAUAUAUGGUUGUGGCAGAAAGAUACUAGUGUAUCUUGCCAGUUUCUGGGACUUCCUGAAGCUAUUAAAUUGUCUAUUUCUGAGCUUUGGGAGGUAAGUUAUAGGGUAGACUAUUUCCUUCCCCGCUCCACCUUGCAGCUAUAAGGCAUCUAGUUCAUUUCUCUGUCUUUUAACACCCUAUGUUUUAAGAAGCUUCCUACAAAAUUAAAGGGUUAUACGUCAAAGACAUCUGAUCAGUAAUCACUCCUGGGCAUGAAACCCAAGGACUUUCCAUUGUUGCUGGGUAUAUGAUCACAUCAUGAACCCUAAGAUUGUAAACUAGAAAAGCCUUGCCAUGCUUUUCUGUGGCUCUGCGUUAACACAUACCUUUAAUCUAACAGCUUUCUGUUUAUUGGAAACAAAUACUUGUCGUGUGGCUCAGCCCUAGAACACACCUUUCAAGGGCUAAGUAAAGUCAACCUUAGGUCAACAAACAAGCAGUUACCAGGGAGUAAGCAUAGUCAAGUACAAAGGAGGGACAGUGCUAUUAUAUUUUGUCCUUUUUAUGAUUUUGAGGCAAGUUAUAUGUAGAGAGAAUCUCCUGUGUACUGCCAUGAAUUCAGAACCUCAGUAACAAGCUGAUGGCUUACUAGCAAUAGGCAGGAAAUAAAAGAUGGAAGCUGAGGUGGAGAUUUCUGGUUUCUUUGGAGGUUCAGUUGUGUGGAAAGUGUCUUAUGAGAGGAUGUUUUGCUAAGGCAGACAUCAGUGGGAAUAUGGUUUGCUCGAAAUAGAUAUGUAGUAUUUUUCUGGAAGUUGCCUGGGAAAGGGGCAUAUAAUAUUUUGCUAAAGCUGAUGCUUGGUAGUUGGAAAGAUAUAAAUAUAACCCAACAGUAGAUGACACUGGGGCAUUUAUUUGCCUUGCCUUUUUCAUUGAUCAUCGUUUGUUGAGACUUUGUAGACAAAAAUGCACCAAAGAUCUUCUGGUGGUAUUCUGGUGGCUUCUUGCCACUUCUGUGGUCUCAGGGGCUGAUUGGCGGAGCCUUGUGUUUCUUCUGGAUUGAACUGUGUUACUGUACUGACUCAUGAACGGUGUUUGCAAAAAACGGAGUUACUGCUGCUGAUUUGUGUGAACUGAACUGCUGCUAUCAUGACAAUAAAAAUUAGAAUAACCCCAAAGAACUAUUUCUAAACAGGCCCACAACGCCUUUGCCCUAUUAACCUUUCCUUUCCACUACCUACGGUGGAUAGUGGGCUGGAGCUUAAAGUGUUUAAGAACCCUUACUAAAGUAGGUUUUGAAAAAUAAAAAGUCUAGAAGGAACUCAGAUUGUGAGACUGGAACUCUGGGGAGGAAGUCACAAGUGUGAAAGAUUCACCCUGGACGAUAAGAAGACAGAGAUAUGAAGAUGAGAGGUCAACAGCCAUGCAGCACACAAGGAAUAUAAUAAACAGGUUAUAUAAUUUCAGAACUAGUCAAGAAACAAACCAAAGCUUAUGGUCUAGGCCUUUAUUUAUAGAUAGUUA